Long non-coding RNA from Mesocricetus auratus (golden hamster), 2157 nucleotides. RefSeq lists it as uncharacterized. NCBI's taxonomy places the organism in Eukaryota, Metazoa, Chordata, Mammalia, Rodentia, Cricetidae. The record is from RefSeq and is a predicted model, not a curated record. The transcript is spliced from 3 exons.
GAAUCUCACUAUAUAGCCCUGACUGUCUUGGAACUCACUAUGCAGACUAGGCUGACUGCAAAUUCAAAGAGGUCUGCCUGCCACUGUCUCCCAAAUUCUGGAAUCAAAGAUCUCACAGCAAUGACAGGCCUCACAGUGAUGACCCCAGUGGACCACAAAGUUCAACCUGUGAAACCACGAACCAAAAGAAAUCUUUCCUGCUUGGAUUUUUUUUCCACUCAGCACCUGUGAAGAAAAUGCAAAAUGACAGGCUGUAGAAGACUUGGCUUCUGUGUGUAGCAGUGCCUACUGUGUGUAGUAGUGCCUACUGUGAUUCUGUGGACUGGAAUGACACACACCUAACACACCUUAUGCGCUCCUAUGCAUGUCCAGUUUGCACAGACCAUACAGUUUCCCAGAUGUCAAAUCUGAACUGUUUGGGGUCACCAUGCUAAGCAUAUUUACAAUGUCAAAAAAUGUUUUAGGGAAUUAGCUAAUUCACAAAGGUCUUCAGGAGCACUGAACACCACGGGCUGUUUGUUAUUCUGAGGUUUGCUGUAAUGAAAUGUUCCUGGUCAUGAGGAGUGCACUUAAACAACCGUGUAUGGAGUCUUGCCAGGAGUGAAAAUAGCUUAAAAGCAGUGUUGGUUAGUGUUCUGUCAACUUGACAAGAGCUAGAGUCAUCUGGGAAGGGAGAACCUCAGCUGAGGAAUCGCCUCCAUCAGAUUGGUCCGUAGGCAAGUGUGUGCGUGGGGGGUGUUUUCUUCAUUGAAGAUUGAUAUUGGGGGGACCCAGUCCACUGUGAGCAGUGCCACCAUUGGGCAGAUGGUCCUGAUUUGUACCACAAAGCAGCUUGAGGAAGCCAUGGGGAGCAAGCCAGUAAGCAGUGUUCCUCCACAGUCUCUUCUUCAGUUCCUGCCUCUAGUGUUUUGCCUUGAGAACCUACUCUGGCUUCCUGGGAGGUGGGAGCGUAAGCUGAAAUAAACCCUAUCCUCCCCUAAGUUGAUUUUGGGCAUGUCGUUUUAUCACAGCAAUGGGAAGGCAAAGGAGAAUAAAAGCCACGGCAGAAGGCUCAUAACUAGAGGUCUAACACUUGAGAGGCUGAGGCAGGAGAAUUACCAUAAAUUCAAGCCAGGCUGCAGAGUGAGACACUGUCUGGGGGGUGAAAAAAGCUAAUCUAAAAUGGCAUAGGAAGAAAGCCAUGUCCUUCCUUAGCACGAGCAUAGAAGGGCAUCUUCAGAUCUAACCCUCUCGGAUGGAAUGACUGCUGCGCUCAGAGUACGGAGCCAAAGACUAAGCUAGAGGUGAGCACAUAGUGUGAGGCCACCAGAGUGCAUCCCAACCAGUUUCCAUUUAGCAACUUUUGCCUGAAUGUGUGCAUUUAAGAUGCGGUGAUAUAGACCAGCUCAGGCGUGCCAUGUCUUCCCAUUUAAUAGUCUAGCAGUAUCUGAGCCACGUGGAUGCGUAUGGUACAACGAGCAGGCCACACUGCUAAGGCCAACGCGGUGAAGUGGAGCCUGGCACGGAAAGGGCUCCUGGUCCCUGAAGCCCUGGCCAGCCCCAGGCUGCUGAGGGAGGAACAGGGUGCAAGGCAGCAGUGACCCACCCGACCCAGAGGUGAAAGCGCGUAAGAAAGAAGCCAUUUUGCCCUGAGCUGAGCUGAGCUCCUGGGGCAAACGAGGGAAAUAGGGCUGCUUUACAUUUUCUCCAGCCUACUUGUUUUCAAAAUGACCUGCAGCUCAGUAAAAAGGCUCACAUUGGAUUGAAAGCCCACAGCACAGCAGAAAGUAGGGAAGGGUGUAGUUUACAAUCCUGUGUGUUACUUGAUCCUUUUGCAGGCCGGGGCCUCAGCUCCUUCCUUUUCUCCUGCCCACCUCUUCUUCCUUUCUUAUAGAGACACAGCCUCAUGUUUCCCAGCAGGCUGGUCUCAGACUCACCAUGUAGCAGAGUAUAACCCUGGAUUGUUGAUCCCCCGCCUCUACUUCUAGUGCUGGAAUUACAGGUGUGGCCACCAUGCCCGGUUUGGAUCGAUGUUGUUUGUUUAAAUCUAAUAGUCCUGAAGUGUCAUGUGUGAAUAUAGUGAUGUUAAAGAUGCCAAAAUGAAUAAAAAAGUGUGCCUAUUGUAUACAUAGCCCUGGCCAAUGGGAAACAAUCAAUCUGUGAAGUAGAAAUGGGAUU